GGUUCCUACGGGAGGCAGCAGUAGGGAAUCUUCCACAAUGGACGAAAGUCUGAUGGAGCAACGCCGCGUGAGUGAAGAAGGGUUUCGGCUCGUAAAGCUCUGUUGGUAGUGAAGAGGGAUAGAGGUAGUAACUGGCCUUUUUUUGACGGUAAUUACUUAGAAAGUCACGGCUAACUACGUGCCAGCAGCCGCGGUAAUACGUAUGUGGCAAGCGUUUUCCGGAUUUAUUGGG
This 232-nucleotide ribosomal RNA is filed under the name uncultured bacterium. RNAcentral's name for it is "partial 16S ribosomal RNA". It matches the Rfam family "Bacterial small subunit ribosomal RNA", at positions 334 to 558 of the family's 1533-position model. The record is from RNAcentral.